Molecule: unclassified non-coding RNA, 245 nt
Filed under: plant metagenome
Description: partial contains small subunit ribosomal RNA, internal transcribed spacer 1, and 5.8S ribosomal RNA
Rfam family: Eukaryotic small subunit ribosomal RNA (bases 1-53)
Source: RNAcentral
GGAAGUAAAAGUCUAACAAGGUCUCCGUUGGUGAACCAGCGGAGGGAUCAUUACUGAGUGUAAAAACUCCCAAACCCCUGUGAACAUACCAUCUGUUGCUUCGGCGGGAUCGCCCCGGGCGCCUUUGCGUGCCCCGGAUCCAGGCGCCCGCCGGAGGACUCCAAACUCUUGUUUUAUAUGUGGCAUUAUCUGAGUGGCUUAUAGCAAAUAAAUCAAAACUUUCAACAAUGGAUCUCUUGGCUCUG